GAAGGAGAAAGCUACGUUGGAGCUGCCUAGGCGAAGAUCCAAGAUCAUCCUGACAUCUAACAGGAAGAGGUGCCUGGAUGCUGAUAUGCAUUUCCAAAUUAAUGAAUGUCUGCGGAGCGCUGUGGGAUGCCCAGAUGAAAGGCAGUGGAGAAGCACAAAGUUGCUGGCUGACUUCUGAGGGAUGCGAGUGAGCGUCAAGUUCCAAAACCAGCCACAGAUUUGGACCCACCUUGGUUUUCAGGCAGCAGCUGGGCUGCAGGCUAAUGAGCUAACUUGUUCCAGACAGUGCUGCUAGCAAUUCCAUCCUGCCUGGCCACCGUAGGGAGGCUGGAGAGCAACACCACGGCUGGAAUUUUCAGCAGCCCAUCGAAUUCAUACUUGCAUGGCAGCCAUUUUUUCCUCUCCCCUCCCCAUUACAAGGCCAAACAAAGUAGCCCCACUGCAUUGUAACUUUUUUAAAAAAACAAAAAAAUCUGCUGUUGAUAAUCUGAUGAUAUUUAGUAGUAACAUGGUAACUUGCAUCUGAAAGAUUCUUUGGGUAAUACAUUACAUUUUUUUCUGUGUUGCAAGUAUAUUGCGGGGGGGAGGAAUUUGGAAAGCGGUGUGCAAGAUAACAUUUUGUGACAAUUAUCGCAAUGUCCCUAGUAGGCCAUCCUAAUCCACAUUUUAUGGAUGGUGAAUUAAGCGAAGGCAUGCUCCAGGCUGUCGUAACAAGUCAUGACUAACCUGUAAUUUGAGCCAAUAUUGUGCAGGUCUAUACCCAGUAUUUGCUGCAUGGUGCUGGAUGUCACUUAAAGAUGAGUAUCAUCUUGGCAUGUUACAACUCUGUU
Rhineura floridana is the source of this 830-nucleotide long non-coding RNA. RefSeq lists it as uncharacterized. Lineage: Eukaryota; Metazoa; Chordata; Lepidosauria; Squamata; Rhineuridae. The record is from RefSeq and is a predicted model, not a curated record. The transcript has 3 exons.